This 1440-nucleotide ribosomal RNA is filed under the name uncultured Bordetella sp. RNAcentral describes it as "partial 16S-23S ribosomal RNA intergenic spacer". It matches the Rfam family "Bacterial small subunit ribosomal RNA". The record is from RNAcentral. Lineage: Bacteria; Pseudomonadati; Pseudomonadota; Betaproteobacteria; Burkholderiales; Alcaligenaceae.
GGUUCGAUCAUGGCUCAGAUUGAACGCUGGCGGGAUACUUUACACAUGCAAGUCGGGCAACUGGCACGGACUUCAGUCUGGUGGCGAGUGGCGAACGGGUGAGUAAUGUAUCGGAACGUGCCUAAUGGCUGAGGAUAACUACGCGAAAGCGCUAAUACAUACGCCCUUCGGGGAAAGCGGGGGACCUUCAGGCCUCGCACUAUGAAACGGCCGAUAUCGGAUUAGCUGAUUUGGUGAGGUAACGGCUCACCAAGGCGACGAUCCGUAGCUGGUUUGAGAGGACGACCAGCCACACUGGGACUGAGACGGCCCAGACUCCUACGGGAGGCAGCAGUGAAAUUUUGGACAAUGGGGAAACCUGAUCCAGCCAUCCCGCGUGUGCGAUGAAGGCCUUCGGGUUGUAAAGCACUUUUGGCAGGAAAAAAACGGCCUGGAUAAUACCCCGUGCAACUGACGGUACCUGCAGAAUAAGCACCGGCUAACUACGUGCCAGCAGCCGCGGUAAUACGUAGGGUGCAAGCGUUAAUCAGAUUACUGGGCGUAAAAGCGUGCGCAGGCGGUUCGGAAAGAAAGAUGAAAUCCCCGAAACGCUUUGGAACUGCAUUUUAACUACCGAAGAGCUAGAGUGUGUCAGAGGGAGUGGAAUUCCGCGUGUAGCAGUGAAAUACGUAGAUAUGCGAACACCGAUAGCGAGAGCAGCCUCUGGGAUAACACUGACGCUCAUGCACAGCUGAUAGAGGCAAACGGUUAGAUACCUGGUAGUCCACGCCUAAACGAUGUCAACUAGCUGUUGUGGGGCCUUCGGGCCUUGGUAGCGCAGUAACGCAUGAAGUUGACCGCCGCAAGGGAGUACGGUCGCAAGAUUAAAACUCAAAGGAAUUGACGGGGACCCGCACAAGCGGUGGAUGAUGUGGAUUAAUUCGAUGCAACGCGAAAAAGCCUUACCUAUGACAUGUCACGGAAUCGAAGAGAUUUGGUGCAUACCAAGAGAACCGGAACACAGGUGCCGCAUGGUGUCGUCAGCUCGUGUCGUGAGAUGUUGGGUUAAGUCCCGCAACAGGCGCAACCCUUGUCAUUAGUUGCUACGAAGGGCACUCUAAUGAGACUGCACCGGUGAACCGGAGGAAGGUGGGGAUGACGUCAAGUCCUCAUGGCCUAUGGGUAGGGCUUCACACGUCAUACAAUGGUCGGGACAGGGUCGCCAGCCCGCGAGGAGCCAAUCCCGAAACCCGAUCGUAGUCGGAUCGCAGUCUGCAACUCGACUGCGUGAAGUCGGAAUCGCUAGUAAUCGCGGAUCAGCAUGUCGCGGUGAAUACGUUACCGGUCUUGUACGCACCGCCCGUCACACCAUGGGAGUGGUUUUACCAGUAGUUAGCCUAACCGUAAGGAGAAGGCGAUUACCACAGUAGGAUUGACUGGGGUGAAGUCGUAACAAGGUAA